RNAcentral lists this transfer RNA (65 nucleotides) under Dipodomys ordii (Ord's kangaroo rat). It matches the Rfam family "tRNA". From Rfam's summary of the family: Transfer RNA (tRNA) molecules are approximately 80 nucleotides in length. Their secondary structure includes four short double-helical elements and three loops (D, anti-codon, and T loops). Further hydrogen bonds mediate the characteristic L-shaped molecular structure. tRNAs have two regions of fundamental functional importance: the anti-codon, which is responsible for specific mRNA codon recognition, and the 3' end, to which the tRNAs corresponding amino acid is attached (by aminoacyl-tRNA synthetases). tRNAs cope with the degeneracy of the genetic code in two manners: having more than one tRNA (with a specific anti-codon) for a particular amino acid; and 'wobble' base-pairing, i.e. permitting non-standard base-pairing at the 3rd anti-codon position. The record is from Rfam by way of RNAcentral. Lineage: Eukaryota; Metazoa; Chordata; Mammalia; Rodentia; Heteromyidae.
GGUGGCUCAGUGGUAGAGUGCUUGCCUUGCAAGCACGAGGUCCUGGGUUCAAUUCCUCAGUACCA